UUGAACGCACAUUGCGCCCUCUGGUAUUCCGGGGGGCAUGCCUGUUCGAGCGUCAUU
This 57-nucleotide ribosomal RNA is filed under the name unidentified. RNAcentral's name for it is "Circinaria sp. 5.8S ribosomal RNA". It matches the Rfam family "5.8S ribosomal RNA", at positions 100 to 154 of the family's 154-position model. From Rfam's summary of the family: 5.8S ribosomal RNA (5.8S rRNA) is a component of the large subunit of the eukaryotic ribosome. The record is from RNAcentral.